This 3502-nucleotide long non-coding RNA is filed under the name Pan troglodytes (chimpanzee). RNAcentral's name for it is "lncRNA (ENSPTRG00000054377.1)". The record is from RNAcentral. Lineage: Eukaryota; Metazoa; Chordata; Mammalia; Primates; Hominidae.
UUACUUUGAACUUCUAAGUGCAGGAUCUAAAACCACUAGUGAAAUUUCUGGAGUCAAUUAGCAAAUCCCUUCAUAGAAAUUUCUAUCACUGGGUCUUCGUGAGCACACCUUGCAUCUCCUGAAAUCCCAAUUGCCACCUAGGUAUGAAACAACUUCAAGUGAUGAUUCCAGCUCAGAUGAAAGCUCUUCUUCCGAGUCAGAUGACGAGUGUGAUGUCAUUGAGUAUCCUCUUGAAGAAGAGGAGGAGGAGGAGGAUGAAGACACUCGGGGAAUGGCAGAAGGGCACCAUGCAGUUAAUAUUGAAGGUUUGAAGUCUGCCAGGGUGGAAGAUGAAAUGCAGGUUCAAGAAUGUGAACCUGAGAAGGUGGAAAUCAGAGAGAGGUAUGAAUUAAGUGAAAAGAUGUUGUCUGCAUGCAACUUACUGAAAAAUACUAUAAAUGACCCCAAAGCUUUGACCAGCAAAGAUAUGGUGAGUCUGACCUGCAAACACCAUCCCCAGUGUGUACAAAGUGCAUGAGUGGGUUCAUUGUCAAGGCCAGCUGUAGGCUGCCCGAGUUGUUGCUUGCAUGCUUUUCUCCUGAACUGUUUCCAGCAUGAGUGGGCUGGGUGAACAUCAUGUGGUCUUGCUCCCUGGAUCACACUGCCAGCGUUUCCUUGAGGCCCAACUUCGGACAUCCUUUACCCACCCUGGACUUUUCCUGGGGUGGAGGCAUCUGUGAGGCAUACACUUGCAGACAGAAAGGAGGGCUAAUUGCAGUCAGUCGUCAUCUUUCUACACAUUUCAUUUCUAUUUAUAGAACAGUAAGAUCCAGGGAGCAGCAUCCAAGAAUUUUGUUUUUUUAAGUUAGCAUAUGUUUUUAAAAGAAACCUAUCUGAGCCAAGGUCAGCAUUCCUUUCAGUUAUGAAACUGUAUGUUAUGCUCUGAUGUGGAAUGCAGGCGGCCACUAUUUUUAAACUAAAAAUAACCGCACUUGUCAUCUCGCAGUCUAAGAAAUUCAGAGCAAACAGCAAAGAGUUUGUGGUUGCCUUAGUGAUCACGAAUGGUACAACAUAGGACACAAGUAUUUCUAUGGCAGUGGUUAAUCUGACACCAUGGCCAAGAAUGACAUAUUCUCAUGUGUCGAAGUUAUGUGCACAUUCUUUCAUAGGCCAGACUAACCCACUGGUUGACAGCUGUCUUUUUUAUUAGUGCAUUGAGAAAAUGUAGGAUCCCCUAAGGAUACCAAAAUGCACAGAUACUCAAGUCCCUUAUGUAAAAUGGUGUAGUAUUUGCAUAUAAACUAUGCAUAUACUUUAAAUUCUGCCAUAUAUUUUAAAUCAUUUCUAUAUCAUAAUACCUAAUACAGGGCCAGGUGCAGUGGCUGACACCUAUGAUCCCAAACACUUUGGGAGGCCGAUGCAGGCCGAUCACAUGAGGUCUGGGGUUCGAGACGAGCUUAGCCAACAUGGUGAAACCCUGUCUCUACUAAAAAUACAAAAAGUUAGCCAGGCAUGGUGGUACACCCGUGUAAUCCCAGCUACUCGGGAGUCUGAGGCUGGAGAAUUGCUUGCACCCGGGAGGUGAUGGUUGCAGUGAGCCAAGAUUGCACUUCUGCACUCACGCCUGGGUGACAGAGUGAGACUCUGUCUGAAAAAAAGCCUGGAGUGCAGUGGCGUGAUCUCGGCUCACUGCAAGCUCCGCCUCCCGGGUUCGGGCCAUUCUCCUGCCUCACCCUCCCCAGUAGCUGGGACUACCGGCGUCCACCACAACGCCAGGCUAAUUUUUUUGUAUUUUUAGUAGAGACCGGGUCUCACCGUGUUAGUCAGGAUGGUCUCGAUCUCCUGACCUCGUGGUCCGCCCAUCUUGGCCUCCCAAAGUUCUGGGAUUAUAGGCAUGAGCCACCAUGCCUCCCAAAGUGCUGGGAUUUACAGGCAUGACCCACCGUGCCUGGCCUCAAAAACUUAACACAAUGUAAAUGCUAUAUAAAUAGUUGUUAUACUGUAUUGUUUUGUAUUACAUAUUUUUUAAAUAUUUUCACUCUGCCCGUGGUUGAAUCUAUGGAAAUGGAACCUGUAGAUACAGAGGGCCAGCUGUACUAAAUAAAAUUGCUGGUCAAGUCCAGGCACAGGGGCUCACACCUGUAAUCCCAGCACUUUGAGAGGCCAAGGCAGUGGAUCACUUGAGCCCAGGAGUUCAGUUUGAGACCAGCCUGGGCAACAUGGCAAAACCCUGUCUCUACAAAAAUUAGCCAGGUAUGAUGGCAUGUACCCAUGGUCCUAGCUGCUUGGGAGGCUGAGGCAAGAAGAUAGCUGGAGGCCCAGGAAGUUCAGGCUGCAGUGCUCCAUCAUCAUGCCACUGCACUCCAGCCUGGGAGACAGAGUGACACCCUCUCAAAAAAAAAAAAAUUCCUAGUCAAGGGGAAACAUAGAACUACAUAUUGAAAUUCUUGGAUUUGUAUUCAUGAAAAUACCUGGCUAUACCUUGGUCACUAGUAAAACCAUAAAAUCUCACUGCAGUGUCAGUAUUUCCCAUCAGGUUUAACCUAAACUUAAAACUGGUGCCUUACAACCCCAGAUUUUAUAGCCAUAGUACACUUUUCUUUCACUGUUCUCAAAAUACUAGGUUACGUGGCCUUUGGGAAGGAUUCUGUUUUCCUGCAUCCUCCAAAUUGCCGAGCAUGGUGUCAUCCACACACACUGUGAUGGGUACAUCUUUUUAAUUGAAUUUUCAUUUGGUAUGAAAGUAGUGGACGAGUGAACACAAUGCCAGGGCUAGAUAAUCAUGUCAGGACACCAGUUAUUUAGCAGUAAUAGAAUUAGGAUGACCAGAACACGUAAUUUCCCUUCUUUCAGUGUGACAACUCCAAAGACACAGGAAUCUGAAUAUAUACAGAAGAAAAAGGAAACUUUUCACGUGACCCAAAAUGUGAUUGAAAUGGUUAAAACUAAAUAAUCAGUAGCAGGAUGAUAAAGAGAUGGAAGCUCUAUAAUCCCAACUCUACCUUUUCUACAGAAAGAGGACUCUUGGGUUCUGGUGCUUCUGACAUAGGCUGUCUUUCUUUGAUACAUUUUUAAACUUUUAAAGAGUAAGCACAGCAGAAAUGAAUAUUAAACUCAUAUGAAGGCCCAUUGAAAAGACACUGUAGUCAUCCUCAUCACCAGUACUGACUACUCAGUCUCCACUGAGUUUCAUGUGACCCAGGGUUGAGUUGAUCAUCCACAAAGCAAGUGCCUUCUUCAUGUGUCCACAGCCUAAGGAAGUCAGAGUGGAGCUGAUGAGAGAAUGAAAUGAGUUCCAGACGGGCUUCCCUUUUAUUUUCCCUUUCCGUGGUUGAACAGUUGUAUUUGGGAUUGGGGUGGGAAUUGGGUUGGCUAUACACGUACAGUCUCCCAACCUAGUGCUGUGCUGAGGAGUUGAAGGAGGUGAGUUUGGUCUGGAUAGGAAGGAAGCAGCAUAAUUCAGUGUAGGCUAGUUAAUUUCUUCCUAAUUUCUAUGAAAAUUGUUUGCAAGGCCAGUAUGAUU